CACCACAUAAAGUUUAGUUUGGUACAUAUAAUGACUUUUUUAUAGGGCCCUGAAAUGUAAUCCGCCUUCACACACUUAGAUUUGUCAAAAUAUGUCGAAAUAGUGCCAAUCUGCAAGUGAAUGAACAGAAUGGAGACUGAGAAGAUUUUCACUAAGAACAAUCUUACAAUUUUUACUAAUAUCAUAGUUAAUAAUAUUUUGACUGUAUAUUUUUAACACAAUCCCCUUAAAAUGUUUUUCCCCCCUAGUAUUUUUGAGAGAUUCAAUAUGAACCGAAUCAGUCACUUGAUUGACAGCUUGCAGCAAUGCUUUUUUUUGUGAGAUGACAGCUUGAAGAGGAGAUGAUAGGUGUGCAAUCAUUACUUCUGUCAUCAGACUGAGAAGCCAAAGGUGUUCUGACACGUAAAACAAGACAUAAAGGCUAUGAGACAAACAAGAAGACAAUCAAAACAACCUCUGAUAGCACUGUGAUCCAGAACACUCUUGAGGAAGUGCUUGGAAAAAAGCUCCUCCUCAUAUUUUACCAGCAGACAGAAAAAAAAAACUCUGAAAUGCUUAUUAUCUCAGAGCCUCCAGCCACAGAAGAGCCAGCAAAUGUGUACAAAACCACAAAAAACGAAACAGUCACUGAUCUGAAGGUCUCCACGGUGAACUGUUCAAAUCUAAGACAUUGCUGCUCCAGUGGCCUGUAUGAGAUUUCUGAUUUGACCCAAAUGAAGCGACUCUUUCUUCUGCAUCAACCGCUCUAUCCCUUCGCAAACAUAUUCUGCAUAAUAAUCAUGCAAUGAGUAUCAUCAGCAAUCAGCGAGGACAUCAGAGAGGAGCAGGCUGCUUUCCAGGUUCGAAGCUGCGAAGGCCAGUUCUUUGCACUCAAGAUCAAUCACCGAGCAAUGCCCAGAGUAGCUAAAAUUAUACACGCUGUACAUUUCAAUGAUUUCCAACAAGCCUCGAUAGCAUCCACCAUGACAGUCUCUAGAAGACUGCAGAUCACUGGAAAUUUCUAUCGAAUUGGUGCCAUUGAAAAUCAACAGCUGAGGUAAAAUCGGGAAAUUCUCAAGGAUACACUGUUUGUUUGCACUCUAUCAGAAGAGCAGACUGACUCACGAUGGAUUUAUGUCAGCAUUCGUAGACGUUGCAAACGUGAUUCUCCACAUCUGACAGGACUAGCGUGCACAGCAGACUCCACCUUCCUGAGUGUUCAAAUGUGCCAGUCAGCUUGCACAUGCAGAAGAGCAUCUGAAGGGCAGUGGAUAAGGCGACUACACCUCUCUAUCAUUGCAAGAGGAAAUUGGAUGGCAGGGGUGUGAGAUGAGCCAUUUUCCAGCCCAAUUGCAACGCGACGGCUGCAAGGGCAGUGUGUCAGUGGCAGAAGGUAAUCCUGCCUGGCCCUUCUUGCAGCAUCAGGCAUUAUUCACGGCUCUGGGGGAGCAGUCAUUACCACAGUGUUAAUGUCCUUCCUCUACUUCCUGGCCGCCAGCACUGAACAUUAACAUGCUCAGGGUGAGGCCUUAUUGUCACUUUCCAUUUCUUCUUCUCUGUCUUUAAGCCUGCAGUUUCUUUAUUUACUCUUUACUUCAUUCAGUUUACAUUUUCAGGUCGACGUAACAGUAGACAUGUCUGUAAAUGAAGAGUUCAUUUGCAAAAACCGAUAAACGCCUUUUUUUUUUUUUUUAAAUGAACUAAGUGCUGUGCAUUAUUCUCCAUAUAUAGCACGUUCUGUACCCUAAAUCCAUUUUGUCAAAAAAGCCGGUUUUAUCCACUGUCAGGCAUCGCAAGUUCGUUUUACAGCAGAAGCCGACAAGCGCCCUUGUUGUUUGUGUACAGAAACCGAUAAGUCCGUUUUAGCGAAUCAGCGCGCAGUAUUCAGGUCAGGUGACAAGGCUUCUAGUCACUUCAAAAAGACGCGCUAGCUGAGGGAAGUUUUGUCAAAGCUGAUUAAAAGUGAUCGAGGAUUUAUAAUUUCGACUCCUGUUUAAUGAGGUCAAAUCUUUCCAAGUAGCCCAGAACCUGCUUGUUUGGGAAUUACUGAGUAGAGGGCAUCUACUGGGAGAGAAGUCAGACAGGUGGGUCUUAGAAGACAGAGGUCAAAUCUGACACCGACAGACAGUGAAGUGAGCAUCAGUGAUGACUGAGAGAAGCAGCCCAGAACCAAGCAAUCAGUAUGGAUCAUACUCUGAGGAGAUUUGAAGGAGGACACCACCGGCUGGCUCGACAGAUUUGCAUCCAGUUCAUCUUAGUCUCAGUUAAGUGGGUGAAAUGAGGCGAAAUGUGUGCGCCCUACCUGCACAUUCCUCAUGCAUGUACCUGGCAUCUGUUCGACCAGCCUGAUCGCUGUCUGCCAAUUAACACCAUAGUGAAGUCCGACUGCAGUUGUGGUAGAGUACAGAGGGCAUCCUACAAGAAAUGGGAUAUCCUGGUCACCAUCCGCUUUCAUGUGUGAAUCUUUAUCGAAACAUCCACAGAAAAGUCAUACAGGUUUGAGGCGACAUUAGGGGGCGUCAGACAAGCUUGCCUGCAUAAAGCAGAAGCAGCCUUUGACUGACGUUAUCUCAGGCUAACACUGUUCCGCACACUGCAGACCGCUAUUGAAUUCCAACACAGCUCGGUACUCCUUGCCAUUUCGUCUGGUCUGAUGAUGUAUAGCCAGUGUUGUGGUGGCAUUUGUAAUCACGAGCAUACAAACAAUAUCUCAGGUAAUUGCAUUUGGUGAGUUGUGGAAAUUUUGUACUUGUAUACCCAGAGGCACAGUGACCAGCUUAUGACUAUUUGCAUAAAAGUGAGUGGUGCGUUUGUUUCGGUUAGGUUUCUCCAUGCUCAGUCCGGCGAACAAGAGAGAACCGAUAUCUAUCUGUAUGAUGGAUUACUCUGUGUCCCUGUGGUAGAGCUACAGGAGCUGAUGCCCGAGUCAUUUGAGUGAAGGAUCAGAUAGGCACUUUGGCCGUCUAAGUAAUAGGAAGUCUGGUUGAAUGUGUAAAGUUUUUAGAAGUGCCCAAAGGUGGAAGGGAGUGGCCAAAUGUGUCUUAGCGCAACUGGAAGAUCUAAAGUAGUGGUUGUAGACUGGCUUUACAUUGGACACCCAGUGGCGACCCAACAUCAAAACUGUUUAGUGUACAAAAGUAAAAAAAAAAAAAAAAAGUCUUUUAAAUCGAACAUACAUGGACAUUUCCAUGAACUGCAUAUACCUAAAAAAAUGCAAAAUGAUUAACAUGUCAUACUCUACUAACGUAAGCAAAAGUUGAUAAUAUUUGUAAUGUUUUUGAAAGAAGUGUCUUAUGCUCACCACUGCUUCAUUUAUUUGAUCAGAAAAAC
This is a long non-coding RNA of Megalobrama amblycephala (Wuchang bream), 3309 nucleotides long. RefSeq lists it as uncharacterized. Lineage: Eukaryota; Metazoa; Chordata; Actinopteri; Cypriniformes; Xenocyprididae. The record is from RefSeq and is a predicted model, not a curated record. The transcript is spliced from 8 exons.